This 266-nucleotide ribosomal RNA is filed under the name uncultured bacterium. RNAcentral's name for it is "partial 16S ribosomal RNA". It matches the Rfam family "Bacterial small subunit ribosomal RNA", at positions 338 to 600 of the family's 1533-position model. The record is from RNAcentral.
CCUACGGGGGGCAGCAGUGAGGAAUAUUGGUCAAUGGGCGGAAGCCUGAACCAGCCAAGUCGCGUGAGGGAAGAAGGCCCUGCGGGUCGCAGACCUCUUUGGACGGGGAGCAAGGCCGCCGACGUGUCGGCGGAAGGAGAGUACCCGUAGAACAAGCAUCGGCUAACUCCGUGCCUGCAGCCGCGGUAAUACGGAGGAUGCGAGCGUUAUCCGGAUUCAUUGGGUUUAAAGGGUGCGCAGGCGGGCCUUUAAGCCGGCGGUGAAAU